This 4847-nucleotide long non-coding RNA is filed under the name Chlamydomonas reinhardtii. Its description in RNAcentral is "long non-coding RNA (CREI_LNC001047)". The record is from RNAcentral. Lineage: Eukaryota; Viridiplantae; Chlorophyta; Chlorophyceae; Chlamydomonadales; Chlamydomonadaceae.
GGUACAAGGAGGGUGGGAUGGGUGGCUGGUCGCGAAGGGUACAGAACACAAGGCUGCAGCCCGCUUCCCCAUACGCGAGGGAACCCGUUCUCAGGGCUCGAAGGGUUUGGGCAGGGUUUGGGCAGGGUUUGGGCAGGGUUUGGGCAGGGUGGGAAGGGGUGGCGAUGGCUCUGCCAGCGAUGGCUUGAGCGGGCGGGCUCGUGAAUGGACAUGCAUUGUGCAUGUGCAUUGGGGUCCUGGCCUAUGACGACCUGCGCUGUGACUGACCUUUGCAUCUACGAGUCUACUCCUGCCCUCCUGCCCUCCUGGCACACGCCCCAGCGGUUCACGCUGGAUGAAAAGAAAAAGAGCUGACUAGCAGUGGACGGCGAGGCGGGCAUCGCGGCCCUCCGUCUCUGCGGCCCGGUGCUGGUCCUGCUGGCCGUUGUGUUCCAAGUGCGGGGCAUCGGCGGCCGGUACACGCCGCCUGUGCUCCUUGCUGUCGGGCUUGUCCUGACAGCAAUGUGGGCCAUUGGGCUGUGUGUGGUUCAUGGCGGUGGUGCUGUCAGAGAUCCGGGUGUGCUACAGCGCCGCCAUGUUCUGCGGAGUGGCCAUGCUAGCGGGCAUGUGUGUGCUGUUUGUCUUGGAUUGGCACGAUUUGGAUUUCCGGGACGCUGCGCGGCGGGUGCUGGACGCUGCCAGCUAUGCGUACAUGUUGUUGGAGAACGAGGUGCGCGACGUUGCGAAGGACAUCGGGUUCGACAUGUUCGCCUUCGACUUCAGCAAGCAAUGCUUCAAGCUAGCGUGCAAGUUGGUGUACAAGCAGGGACGCCAGCGCUGGGACUGGAUGACGGGCAGUCGCCUGUGAGUAGGACGGACUGCUUCAGGGUGAGACUGAUUAGGAGGGAUGUGGAGGUCGCCACGCCGCCGCAAAGCAAGGCGGGGCAGAGUUGGAGCAGGGCCGGGCACUUGGAUGUUUGUUGCAGAGAGAACGCUGCUGGAGGAGGAGGAUGGCCCGGACAGGCCCGGAGACAGAUCGUGUGGGAGAGGGGCACUCGCGGCCGGCCGUCAAGGUACCGUCAGUUGUUGUCGAGUGCCGUCAGUUGUAGUCAUGUGUGAUGGGACAGGGUGUAGGCAGGUUGGCGAGGUCCCGUAGGGUGCAGCUGACGCCCAUACCCCAAGCAGAUGGCAAACAAUUUGUAGCGGCAGAGCAGAAGUGCAUGGCUGGUCGAACGCCGGAGUUACUGUACCGACAAGUUGCUGGCUGGCUGGAAGUUUGCUGAUGCGCAUUUCUCACGCUCAGUUGUAGUCGUUAUGUCGUUCUCUUGGACGGGAUUGCUGCUCCCAUAAGGCCAUAACAGGCCAGCGCCGCGCAUCCAGCCCUAUGGCGUAGUGCUUAGCCGCCCAGCGCCCCGCCCACCUCCAUGACUACGGGUAGUGCGAGUCGGGGCUGAUGCAGGACACCACUGCUGCAGGCUUUGCUCGAGCAUCGAGCAUCUUGGGUUGCGCCUAUUGCAGCAUUCCCCUUUGGUACCGGUUUACCGGUCAUCCGAACCUAGCCUGCACGUAGGCCUGGCAGCCACAGCGAGGUAGCACCGGGCUUGUAUCUUCCAGGGGUAGGCCGCCUCUGCUGGCGAGAACAGCCCUAACCACGUUGUCGCCCACGGCAACCAGGGGCCUAGUUUUUAUUUUUAGCGUUUGGGGGGGGGGCUCGUGGGGCUCUGCCAGCUGUACGACAAGCGUGAGCAGCCGGCCGUUGGUGGGGUCCGCCUCGCCCGUUUCGUCGCCCGGCACUCCUCCGUCAAAGAGCAGUGCAAGCGCAACAUCAUUGUCAGCCAGUUCCAUCGCCUGGCCCGCGUUAUCACGUGCGUUACAACGGCCAAAGUUUGGGGGUCGGUCGUCGUCCCUGGGGGUCCGCCGGGUUUCGGGAGCCCAUCCUGGCGGAUUUCGGGAAGCGCCCCACAAGCAGAACUAGGGGCCAAACGCAGCAGUACGAGGCUCAUAUGUGCACGUGGUGCCGUAAUAAGCACAAACAAAGCGUGGGAAGGCUAAGUUACGCGUCCGGGCGUGGACAUGUCGGCACAUGUCCCCACAUUCGGCACAUGCGCACUGCCACGGCUGGGCUCUCUAACGCUGGUGCGCUUGAAUUUACGUCAAACAAGGCUGCCGAUGCACACUGUCCAACCGUCACAUGGCAGAGAGUUGAGCGCGGUGUGGGCUGGGUCGAGCGGAUUCCAAUGGAUGGGAUUCCGCGUGUGACCGAAGUCUUUGAACAGGACCGCUGAUGGCACAGCGUAAUAGUGCUCGUCAAGAGGAGUCGAUUGGUACCACUUUGGUAUUAAAUGGAGGGUUUUGACCCCUGGAUUUGUCCAGGGGGGGGGUCGGUCGUCCCCUCAAGGGGGGUCCCGGGGGAUUUCGGGGCAUGGGGUCUCGCACAAUUCCUCCCCCCCCCCCCCCCCCUGUCCAGCACACCGAGGAGCCAAACGGUGAGGCAGCCAUCGGGUACGCGCGAUACGCCUCGGCCAGCCCCCACUCAAGCCGGCCGUCGCGCGCCACCAGAGCCACGCCCCCACGCGGCCCAGCAGACCGCACACGCCGCACCUCGAACGGCUGCACAAACCCAGGCGACGGCCCGGGCUGCUGGUACUGGAAGACGUAGCUGCUCACCUAAGCCGUGGGUCGGCGUCAUAAGACUACCUCUUGCGAGUCCCUAAGCUGGCAAGCUAGGGUGAGGCUGGUGGCGAGUCCGCUGCUGGCCCUACAAAGAUAACCCCUCCAACAUCAUCUGACGCUAGGAAUGGGCUUGGGAAUGGGUGCUGGUUCGGGACAAGGUCCCAGCGGCGCGGAGGCCGACGCAAACUCACAAACGCAGCUGGCCGUGACCAGAAGUCCGCAAUCACCUCCACACCGAUCCUUCGCACAACAGCAACCUCCGCAGUCCGGCCUGCAGCAUCACGGCAAGCGUAAAGGCGCUGUCGGCCGUAUUCCAGGGCCGCCACAGCAGCCAAGCACACGAUGUCCCACACCGCCUGCGAUAGCCCUGGUGGCGCCUGUACCUGCCUGUACUAACCACAACUGGUUCCGUGUGAUGUCCACAUUCGCAUGCUCCCGCAGCACAUCACGCAGAGCCUCCGCCACCACACAGUCUGCGAAGUGAUGAACCCUAGCCCCAGCAGUCAUCUGAGUCCCACACGGGCAUUUCUCCACGCGUCCAUCCGCGGCCAACGCCGCAAGCAUCCCACAUGGCCUUGCUUGCCCCCUCCACGCACGCACGCAGGCAGGCAGGCACGGACAGGGGCAAUUCCAUCUGGAUCUGGCCUUAGGCGCUUAGUCCCCCACAGUUUCUUGUGAAACUGAAAACAGCCAGGGGGCGGGGCAAAACCCCGGGGCACCAUGCGGGCGGGAUGAAGAACGUUCGAGCUAGCCGCGCUAGCAACUGCCGAAUACCUUCAAUACGUUCUUUCAGUAUUUCUCACCGAAACCGCAAAGCUUGCUUCGCAGCACCGCUGAAAUGGCCGAACGCGUGCGUGACAUUCAGUCGGAGAUUGACAAGGUGACAAAAGAGAUAAAUGAUGUUGAAGCGCAAGUGAGCAAGGCAGCAGACAAAGUGGAGAAGGCAGAAGCAGAAGUGGAGAAGGCAGAAGCAGAAGUGGAGAAGGCAUGGGCGACGCGUCGCGAAAUAGCCAAGAAGCUGAAGCACCCAGAUCUCAGCGAGAAGGAGCGGGCGGCGCUGGUUGCGGAGCAGGAGUCGUGCGUCGCGGACUUCACAGCUGCCGACAAAAAACUGGAUAGGCUGAGCAGGAAGGAGGAACAGCUGCGCACGAAGAAGGAGCAGCUGCGCAAGAAGGAGGAGCAGCUGCGCAAGGAGGAGGAGCAGCUGCGCAAGGAAAAGGAGCAGCUGCGCAACAAGGAGGAGAGGCUGCAACAGGACGGUGAGCGUUGCGGUGUUGCACAACCACCAUCGAUGCUUCGGGUCUACUGAUUUUGCGUUCUUGUUGCUGUUGAGGUCUGAUGGCCGAUAUUUUGUCGAGCUCUAACCAAAUCGCAAUCUACCAAAACCAAAUCUCACUGGGACUAUGCCUUUGCCCCCCGGCCGCUCGCACGUUGUAGGCGCGGCGGGGAGCACGUCAGGAGCCGGUGAGUUUGUGUCGCAACAGCCCUAUGUAAGCAUGGUGCACGUGCAGCGGCACGCAGUUGCUAUUAAUGCGUUCUUCGAGUGCGUACUCGGUUGGGCUGGCCCCGUUAGCUGAGCGUGUCCGAUUGACCGACCAACUGGCCCGCCCACCCCAGAAGCUUUCUCGCGGUGCGACCCCUCGCGUGUCCGAAUGCCAACGCUGCCACCCACGCCUGCAGACGUGAAGAAGAAGCUGUCCCCACAAGAGAUCAUGGACAAGGUAUACAAGGACGCCACGUAUACGGCGCCCGUCCGAGCACGUGGCGCCCCCGAGGCGAGCCACGUGGCAGGUACAAGGAGGGUGGGAUGGGUGGCUGGUCGCGAAGGGUACAGAACACAAGGCUGCAGCCCGCUUCCCCAUACGCGAGGGAACCCGUUCUCAGGGCUCGAAGGGUUUGGGCAGGGUUUGGGCAGGGUUUGGGCAGGGUGGGAAGGGGUGGCGAUGGCUCUGCCAGCGAUGGCUUGAGCGGGCGGGCUCGUGAAUGGACAUGCAUUGUGCAUGUGCAUUGGGGUCCUGGCCUAUGACGACCUGCGCUGUGACUGACCUUUGCAUCUACGAGUCUACUCCUGCCCUCCUGCCCUCCUGGCACACGCCCCAGCGGUUCACGCUGGAUGAAAAGAAAAAGAGCUGACUAGCAGUGGACGGCGAGGCGGGCAUCGCGGCCCUCCGUCUCUGCGGCCCAGUGCUGGUCCU